This is a non-coding RNA of Rattus norvegicus (Norway rat), 1116 nucleotides long. Lineage: Eukaryota; Metazoa; Chordata; Mammalia; Rodentia; Muridae. The record is from RefSeq and is a predicted model, not a curated record.
GACAUGUUUUCUAGGAUUAUCGAGUUAUUUACAGGAAAAACAGAGUGCAUGGAGAGAUGAGAGAGAGAAAAAAAUGAUAUUAGGACUUCUUUCUUGUUAUAAAAGUGCAAAAUAAAUAAUCUGGUGUAAAGCAGAGAGAGUAAGCCCUGAGCCAGUACUGGGGAACUUCCUGGAGAAGCUGUGCUUGGGUCAGACCUUCUAGGAGCAGGACUUAUGGUCUGAAACAUCUGGACUUUUAAAGAAGGGACCAAGCGUCAAGAAUAUCUGAUGAAUAUUUGGCAGACAGCCAGAAAUUGACAAGCAUGCAGUUAGUUUGCUAUGAGUUCCUUAAUUUCACUCUGAAUGAGAAAGAUAUCCAAUAGGAGCCACACAGAUAAAUCUUCGACUCUCAGGGGUCUGCUGGGAAGGCAUCAUGCCAACCUUCCACCAUCAAUGAGCAUGUUCAGCAGAUUAAGAAGUAGGAGAAACUGACUAUUGAGCUCAAGAAGAAAACCUCUAUGGAGAUUUUCUUGUUGACUGGGCUCAUAGAUUCAGACCUGAAGUCAGGGAUAAUAUGGACAAUGGAGAUCCAUUUGAAAGAAGCUGCUUAACUUGGAGGAACAGGGAAACAGUGAGCAAGAGUAAGAUGUUUGUCCACCAGGUGAUCCCUUGCUGAGAACAAAGUCUCCUCUUCACAGCCUGAAAACUGGGCAGGCUGGGUAAGUAGGCAUAGCUAACAAGCCAAUCCAAUUGUGUAAAUGUUUGUACAUAUACAGGGUAUAAAGGGAGAGCAUUUCAUUGACUAAUUUGAAUACAAACCCUGUCCACUAUGUUCUUAUAUCUUGCAAGGAAACUUUGGUGUAUUUUGUCUAUCCUGGGAUCCAGAAAGUUCGCUUCUCACUCUCAUUGUGAUUUCUUCCCUCAUAUGACCCUUAAGAGUACUGAGGAAGUCAGAGAAAAACACAGACAACAAUAAUCUACAUUGUAGAGAUCAAUUACUUCUCAUAAGAAACACUUCCUCAUAGCUGUGAAUUCAGCAGAGGGGCAAGCUGCAACCAAUGCUUGAUAUUGCAUCUGAUGUCUGGUAUACAGGCUCAUUGACUAACUAUUCUAUUGGAGAAAGGAAACAUCAAAAGU